CCAGGGACCAUGUGUUUUUUACAAAACCAACCACACGUGCUUCGCCACACGCAUUCGUAACUUGGCGGGCACGGAGGAAGGUUCGAAAACCCUCACAACAGUCAAAAUGGUUACCAUGACAGAGCUAGACUCCAAGCCAAUGAAGUGGAUGCUUUCAAUAACGUCUAAUGAACACAUCAUGCCGAUCUUUAAAUGCCGGCGAAACUUUCCACAAAGUCCUUGCAACUCUCCGUUUGUCAUGAAUUUACCGUGCCCGUCAAACAAUAUUAUCCGCUGGAAUUAGACCUAUGUGCCAGUAAAGUCUAGGGCCAAAAAGUCUAGGGCCAACUUCCUAGGGGCCUGCAGUAAAUAAUUUCAGUGGUAAUCUAAAAAAUAUGAGUAAUUUGAAUUAAAACAGUAACAAAUUUGAAUAAAUCUGUAUGAUGUUUAGACCUAAAAAAAUAUGGAUGCCUAACUCUAACUCCCUAGGGGUGUGCAAAAUCAUAUUAAAAUUUGAGGAUUCAGGACUGUUGGGGUUAGUAGGUCUUAAACUAUAAAAUAAACUUAUUUAAAAUAAAUUAAAAUUACGAGCAGCACAGGCACUCUAAUCCAAACCCAAGGUGAAAGCACAUAAAAUAAAUUUAAAUUUCAUAUAGUAUUAAGCAAAUCACUUGGGAGGGUAAAUCCAGUUUUGAAUACAAAAUACAAUGCAGCUUCCAAGUGUGCAAAAGUCAUUUUGUAUCAUUUUCACAAAAGUGUAAAUCCUUGCAGUAUUUUUAAGGUCCUUCCCCUGCAUGCCACAAGUAACAGAUAACCAUUAUGUUAAGCACAAACCAUUAAUUAACAAACAUCACUUUAAUCACUAACCAACUAAGACCUAGCAAAAUGCUGCAAGGACUGGGGCAAUAGUCUAUUUUGGAUCUUGAGGUCCCUUGUGCAAUAAGUUUGAUUUUCAAAACUGGAUUGCCAACAUUUUUCUUAGUGCAGGAUUUUAAAAAAUAUGGAAAUGUAAAAAAAAACUCGUCACCUUCACAACAUUUUGAAAACAAACCACAUAGUUUUUAACAAGCACUUUCUACGCACAAAUAAUAAAAGUAAGAUAGAGUUUAAACUAAGUUUAAUUAAAACAACUAAUUUUUUUAACUUAACUAAGUUCUAAUGAAAGGGCAAUUAUUUAAAAUAUGCCUACUUAAAAUGCACAGGAAAAAAAUGAAAUCAAAUUAUACUGGGAUAAAAUAAUAAAAAUGCUAAAAGAAAGACUCAAACUAUACAUAAAGGACACCUAAAUCGUAUAACAACUUGGUUGGCCCUGGGCAAACUUGGGAUAAUGGUCGGUGUACAUGUAGAGCAGGAAAUUUGAAAGCUUUUGAAUGCCAUCAUGGAGAAACUCUAAAAAAUAGAAUCCAAGUUGCCCCUGCAUAAACUUUGGACAAUGUGAGAAAGACAAACUAUGAACUUGUGAGGAUGACAUUAUAAGGACCGGGAAACUAGAAAAGGCUACAUCAAGAUGGGCAGUGUCACAGAUAGGAUGUAGGCCAGUGUGCUGAAGGAGGCAAAUCAUCCAAUGAUCAUCACCAAGAUAGAGGACGGGACUUUUUCAUCGAAAUGUCUGACUUGGACCGAGAAUCAACAGUCGAAGGCAACACUGGAAGCAGCACUUGGAAGCAGAAUCAAAGAACACACCUACCUUGAACUCCAUGCCAUUUCGCAAGCUUGACAACUGGAGGAUGAGCUUGUUUGGAAGGAUGAUUCCUGUCUGGAAGGACCGAAUUGGUCUUUGAGGAACAAUGACUUUCUGAUGAUGGGACGUGUGGAAUCCUGUUUACUUUCUGAUGUUGGGACCAUUGAAGUUCGCCAUUCUUACUACCAGUGGAGGCCCGUCUCGCUCAGGAAACUGAGUCUGCAGGUCUUUGGACGUUAUCCCGCUGUGAGCAUCGAUAAGAAGCCUGGGUUGCCAAACUCUUCAGAGCUUGUUACUUCCACUGAUGAGGCAAGACAGAACGACCAGACAGCUGGGGUAGAGGCCGGGGGACAAGAUUGCAUGUUCAUAAGGUGAGGUAAUCAUUGUAUGCAGGCUUGAACAUGCACAAGACCCCCGGAUGUUGCCGUACAGUUUGCAAGUGGAGUCGCUUGGAUUGUGUGGUAGAUUAGAACGAGGGGGACAAGGUUGCAUGUUAACCAAGGUGAGGUAACCAUUUCUCUACAGCUCUUCUAGGCCACAUGCCUCAAGACUUGUCCCCCUGGAUUCUGGAUGUUGUUCUGUGCAUUCUGGAUGUUGUUCUGUGGAUUGUGCCGAGUGGUAUCCUGUUUUGACUGAUCUAACCAUCAUGAUUGGAUUGUUCAAGAAUUGCCAGUUGAGAGGGGACAAGUUAUAUGUUAACCGAGGUCGCCGGCCAAAAUUGAGCAUGUGCUGCUAGACUUCAUUUACAGGACUAAAGAUCCUCUAUA
This is a long non-coding RNA of Patiria miniata (bat star), 2427 nucleotides long. RefSeq lists it as uncharacterized. Lineage: Eukaryota; Metazoa; Echinodermata; Asteroidea; Valvatida; Asterinidae. The transcript has 4 exons. The record is from RefSeq and is a predicted model, not a curated record.